RNAcentral lists this ribosomal RNA (253 nucleotides) under uncultured bacterium. RNAcentral's name for it is "partial 16S ribosomal RNA". It matches the Rfam family "Bacterial small subunit ribosomal RNA", at positions 107 to 354 of the family's 1533-position model. The record is from RNAcentral.
GGAGUAACACGUGGGCAACCUGCCCAAAAGAGGGGGAUAACACUUGGAAACAGGUGCUAAUACCGCAUAACCAUAGUUACCGCAUGGUAACUAUGUAAAAGGUGGCUAUGCUACCGCUUUUGGAUGGGCCCGCGGCGCAUUAGCUAGUUGGUGGGGUAAAGGCUUACCAAGGCAAUGAUGCGUAGCCGAACUGAGAGGUUGAUCGGCCACAUUGGGACUGAGACACGGCCCAAACUCCUACGGAAGGCAGCAG